UGGGGAGCAUGGGUUAAUUCGAUGCAACGCGAAGAACCUUACCUGGUCUUGACAUCCACAGAACUUGGCAGAGAUGCCUUGGUGCCUUCGGGAACUGUGAGACAGGUGCUGCAUGGCUGUCGUCAGCUCGUGUUGUGAAAUGUUGGGUUAAGUCCCGCAACGAGCGCAACCCUUAUCCUUUGUUGCCAGCGGUUAGGCCGGGAACUCAAAGGAGACUGCCAGUGAUAAACUGGAGGAAGGUGGGGAUGACGUCAAGUCAUCAUGGCCCUUACGACCAGGGCUACACACGUGCUACAAUGGAAA
RNAcentral lists this ribosomal RNA (303 nucleotides) under Klebsiella pneumoniae subsp. rhinoscleromatis. RNAcentral describes it as "bacterial SSU rRNA". It matches the Rfam family "Bacterial small subunit ribosomal RNA", at positions 932 to 1236 of the family's 1533-position model. The record is from RNAcentral. Lineage: Bacteria; Pseudomonadati; Pseudomonadota; Gammaproteobacteria; Enterobacterales; Enterobacteriaceae.